CUGCACCCUAGAACCUGGAGCUAACAGAGAAAAACUGUGAUGUGGACUCUGCUAGACAGGCUACUGGAGUAAGGGUGAAGUGAUGAAGAUCUCAUCAUUGGGACAUAUUAACACAGUGCUUUUAUGCAGAUGACUGAACCCGUGGAGUUAGGCGGCUGAGAGGAUACAGC
RNAcentral lists this long non-coding RNA (170 nucleotides) under Callithrix jacchus (white-tufted-ear marmoset). RNAcentral's name for it is "lncRNA (ENSCJAG00000069866.1)". Lineage: Eukaryota; Metazoa; Chordata; Mammalia; Primates; Cebidae. The record is from RNAcentral.